Molecule: ribosomal RNA, 247 nt
Filed under: uncultured archaeon
Lineage: Archaea
Description: partial 16S ribosomal RNA
Rfam family: Archaeal small subunit ribosomal RNA
Source: RNAcentral
CCGACGGUGAGAGGCGAAAGCUGGGGGAGCAAACCGGAUUAGAUACCCGGGUAGUCCCAGCCGUAAACGAUGUGCGUUAGGUGUAUCGGUGACCACGAGUCACCGAGGUGCCGAAGAGAAAUCGUGAAACGUACCGCCUGGGAAGUACGGUCGCAAGGCUGAAACUUAAAGGAAUUGGCGGGGGAGCACCACAACAGGUGGAGCCUGCGGUUUAAUCGGACUCAACGCCGGGAAACUCACCAGAUAA